AGAAAAAAUGCAUUUUUUUGCAUUUUUUUUGAAAAAAAAAUCAUUUUUUUCUU
Molecule: transfer RNA, 53 nt
Filed under: Hydrothassa glabra
Lineage: Eukaryota; Metazoa; Arthropoda; Insecta; Coleoptera; Chrysomelidae
Description: tRNA-Ser
Source: RNAcentral